This 153-nucleotide small nuclear RNA is filed under the name Lepisosteus oculatus (spotted gar). Its description in RNAcentral is "U2 spliceosomal RNA". It matches the Rfam family "U2 spliceosomal RNA", at positions 1 to 169 of the family's 192-position model. Rfam says of the family: U2 is a small nuclear RNA (snRNA) component of the spliceosome (involved in pre-mRNA splicing). Complementary binding between U2 snRNA (in an area lying towards the 5' end but 3' to hairpin I) and the branchpoint sequence (BPS) of the intron results the bulging out of an unpaired adenosine, on the BPS, which initiates a nucleophilic attack at the intronic 5' splice site, thus starting the first of two transesterification reactions that mediate splicing. The record is from Rfam by way of RNAcentral. Lineage: Eukaryota; Metazoa; Chordata; Actinopteri; Semionotiformes; Lepisosteidae.
UUCGUUUUUAUAUUAAAAAAAAAUCUGUUCUUAUUAGUUUAAUAUCCGAUACGUCCCCCAUCGGGGGACCACAUAUUAAACGGAUUUUUGGAACAGGGAGCUGGAUCAGGAGCUUGCUCCAUCCUCUCCACGCAUCGGCCCGGUAUUNNNNNN